UACGGAGGGUCCAAGCGUUAUCCGGAAUCAUUGGGUUUAAAGGGUCUGUAGGCGGUUUUGUAAGUCAGUGGUGAAAGCCCAUCGCUCAACGGUGGAACGGCCAUUGAUACUGCAAGACUUGAAUUAUUGGGAAGUAACUAGAAUAUGUAGUGUAGCGGUGAAAUGCUUAGAGAUUACAUGGAAUACCAAUUGCGAAGGCAGGUUACUACUAAUGGAUUGACGCUGAUGGACGAAAGCGUGGGGAGCGAACAGG
This 253-nucleotide ribosomal RNA is filed under the name uncultured bacterium. Its description in RNAcentral is "partial 16S ribosomal RNA". It matches the Rfam family "Bacterial small subunit ribosomal RNA", at positions 524 to 776 of the family's 1533-position model. The record is from RNAcentral.